AAGAAAAAUAAUUUUGAAAUAUUUGAAGAAAACUGAGAUCAUGAAAAACACAAACUAUACAAUAAAAAUAAAACUAUAAAAACUAAUCAAACUAAGAAAGUACACUAAGAGAUAAAAAAAGAAAUAUAGAAAAAAGAAGACAACAAAAACCUAGAAAAGUAAUUUAAAUAACAUAUUAGAAUUAUUAAAAUAAAUUAUUCAAACGGUACAAGAGUAUUAUUAAACUAAAAAUCACAAUUGAUAUGAAAAGAAAAACAUGAAGUAUUGCAUUAAUUUGUCAAACUAAUAAAAUAAAAUAAAUAAUUUUAUGUCUAAACCUUAUCAUUUUAAGAAAUUUGAUACACCUUUAUUUUUUCCAACUUUCUUUAACCAUUUACACUUGUUAUGACCUCUGUAUGUCUUGGUCAAAUGUUAUUUAAAACAUUGGACAUAUGUCUAAUUAUCAAGAAUUGUGAUAGAAAACUGACAAAAACUAACAAAAAGACAUUGCACUAAAGACAAAUAAGAUAUAAUCAAUGAAAGUCUUUAUAUUAAACAAGUUUGGUUGUCAUUAAUAUAUAAUAAAAUACCAACAUUAAUUAAUCAAGAACAACUCAAUAAUUAAUUGGAUAAUUCCAAUAUUUUUUUUACAAUAUUUUAACAUCAUUUAUGUGUAAUUAUGUGAUUAAUCCAUAGUGGUGUUUAUAAUUAUUAUUAUUAUUGAUUAUGGAGUAAUUUUGGAUCAAUCAGAAAAUGACAUAAUGUUAAAAUAUUGUUAAAAAAAUAUUAUCAAAGUAUCAUUUUCCUAAUUUAAAUUAGACAAAACUCGAAGUAUAAAAUAUGCAAAAUUGCUCAUUUUUACAUUACAUAUUUUGAUUUCUUAUGAAAUCAUAUCGUUAACAUUGCUUUUGUGGACAAUUUGAGUUACUUUUUUAUUUGGAAAAUUGGUUGAGCAUUGUUCUUAAUUAGAUUUUGUGAUUCAGAUUUGUGCAUGAUGAAGACACAAGCAAGCGAACCGGUUAUUCCAUCUCAAAGUGAUAAUGAUAAAGGGUACCCACUACACCAACCACCACACCAACCACAACCACCACACCAUUCCCCACCCCACCAAGCACCACCACCACACCACCACCACCAUCGACACCACCCACGUCACUCGCCACCACCACACCAAGCACCACCACCACACAUAGCACAACCACAAUUCCGUCGAGCACCAGAUUUUGUUAUCCCUCCAAGCAUUUGAUUCUUUUAACGUCCAUAUUUUUUAUAAUUUGUAGUCAAUUCAUUGUUCUUUCUAUUAUUUGUCAUCUAAAAUUAUACUACUUAGAAUAAAAAUCUUNUGAUGAACAUAUUUUGCAAUUUUCACUUAGAAUAAAAAUCUUAAGAUGAACAUAUUUUGAAAUUUUCAUAUCUCCAAGCAUUUGAUUCUUUUAACGUCCAUAUUUUUUAUAAUUUGUAGUCAAUUCAUUGUUCUUUCUAUUAUUUGUCAUCUAAAAUUAUACUACUUCGAAUAAAAAUCUUGUGAUGAACAUAUUUUGCAAUUUUCACUUAGAAUAAAAAUCUUAAGAUGAACAUAUUUUGCAAUUAUCAUAUAAAACGUUGUUCUGAUACCAUAUAACGUGGCAUCCUAAUUACAUUGUUUUAUAUUUAAUAAAUUGUUAAUUUUUUUUCAAUUAUAGUAAAAAGUUUUGUAGUACCAAUUCAAUGGUUCAACUUAUAAAUUAUAUAUUUUCUAAAAUAAAGUAUAACAUUUUAAUUACUCAAAAAAAAUAUUUUACAGUGUUAUUAUUUAUUUAUUUAUUAUCAAUUCCUAGUCAUAAUUAAAUAUUAGUACUUAUUUGUUUGCAUUUAUACAAAUGAAACAUGAUUUUUUUAGUAGGAUUAAAACUUUAUUAUUAUAUUUUCACAGGAUUAAAACUUAUUUUUUUGCAUUUAGUAAUUAAAAUUAUGUUAAGUUUAUUUGAGGUUUCAACUGCAUUUUACAAUUAAGAUUGAAGAAAAAAUCUACACAAACAACUCAAGCGUUUUCAUGAAAUAGGUUCGAAAUGUCAAAUAAACUUGACCAAAUUUGGUUAAAAUGACUAAAUCCACAAAUUUCUAAAGUAGAGAAACUAAAUUGGGUCAAAGUUUCGAAAAUGGACUAAUUCCAAUUUUUAGUGAAAAUUAAGAGACCAAAAACAUAUUUAACCCUUAUUUUAAUAAUUAUUUAUAAACUGAUUGAGUGUGGGUAUUCUACUAUCNCUAUCCAUAGAUAUUCGAUACUCGUAAAAAUAAAUUAAAAAUUUUAUUUAUAUUUUAUUAAGUUAUAUAUAAUUAAAAUUAAAAAAAAUAAUUUAUUAAGUUAAAUUUAAUUAAAAUUAAAUUUUAAUUUAUAUUUAAUUCAAUUUAUAUUUUAUANUAACAAAUAAGAAUAAAUUAGAUUCAUCACCCUCAUACUAAUAUAUUAUUUCAUUUUUUCCCAAUUUAUUUUUCUCACUAAUCUCAAAUUAAUGUAAACUACAAUAGACCUAUUAUUAAUCAUUUUCUUUUAAUGAAUAUUAAUUGCUCACACUUCAUAAUUAAUUAACAAAAGUACAAAGCAUUAAAAUUUCAUUGAAUGCCUAAGUUAAUACAUUUAUUCUCUAAAAAGAGAUAUUGAUGGUUUUUUGUCUUUUACUUGAAAUUGCUUUCACCAUUUGAGUAUAUAUAGGUUAAUAGUUGUGGUUAAAUAACAUCUUCAGUGAACAACAUGGGUUUUUCAAACUGUUCUCUUGUCAAUAUGGCGUUCUUAUUAGCUCUUUUCAUCAUGACUUCAGGUUAAUGAUGUUCAAUUCACUCUCUUUUUAGUUUCUCAAUUCAAAUGACCAAUUUUCUUUUACAUUACAUAUUUUGAUUUCUUAUGAAAUCAUAUCGUUGACAUUGCUUUUGUGGACAAUUUGAAUUACUUUUUUAUUUGGAAAAUUGGUUGAGCAUUGUUCUUAAUUAGAUUUUGUGAUUCAGAUUUGUGCAUGAUGAAGACACAAGCAAGGGAACCCAUUAUUCCAUCUCAAAGUGAUAAUGAUAAAGGGUACUCACUACAUCAACCACCACACCAACCACAACCACCACACCAUUCCCCACCCCACCAAGUCCCACCACCACACCACCACCACCAUCGACACCACCCACGUCAUUCGCCACCACCACACCAAGCACCACCACCACACAUAGCACAACCACAAUUCCGUCGAGCACCACCUCCACCUUUCUGAGUCAUCUUUUUCUUCGGAUGCAAUUUGUCAUCUUCUUACUCUUAUGUAUUCUUAGUUCUUAAUAAAGUAUGAUUAUUUUGUUUCAUGUCUCAUUAUGUUCCUAUAUUAUAUCACAUCUUCGGAGACAAAUUGGUUACAAAACUAAAAUAAAGGAAAAAAAUUGGUUAGUUUUUAAAAAAAUCCUCACUUAAAGUGUGUAAUUAAUUGAUCUCAAUUUAUAUAUAUUAAUUAUAGAAAAGAAAAAUAAUUUUGAAAUAUUUGGAAAAAACUGAGAUGAUGAAAAACACAAACUAUACAAGAAAAAUAAACUAUAAAAACUAAUCAAACUAAGAAAGUACACUAAGAGAUAAAAAAAUAAAGAUAGAAAAAAGAAGACAACAAAAACCUAGAAAAGUAAUUUAAAUAACAUAUUAGAAUUAUUAAAAUAAAUUAUUCAAACGGUACAAGAGUAUUAUUAAACUAAAAAUCACAAUUGAUAUGAAAAGAAAAACAUGAAGUAUUGCACUAAUUUGUCA
RNAcentral lists this long non-coding RNA (3727 nucleotides) under Vigna radiata. RNAcentral describes it as "long non-coding RNA (VRAD_LNC004160)". The record is from RNAcentral. Lineage: Eukaryota; Viridiplantae; Streptophyta; Magnoliopsida; Fabales; Fabaceae.